GGAUAACUACUGGAAACGGUAGCUAAUACCGCAUAAUGUCGCAAGACCAAAGAGGGGGACCUUCGGGCCUCUUGCCAUCGGAUGUGCCCAGAUGGGAUUAGCUUGUAGGUGAGGUAACGGCUCACCUAGGCGACGAUCCCUAGCUGGUCUGAGAGGAUGACCAGCCACACUGGAACUGAGACACGGUCCAGACUCCUACGGGAGGCAGCAGUGGGGAAUAUUGCACAAUGGGCGCAAGCCUGAUGCAGCCAUGCCGCGUGUAUGAAGAAGGCCUUCGGGUUGUAAAGUACUUUCAGCGGGGAGGAAGGGAGUGAGGUUAAUAACCUUAUUCAUUGACGUUACCCGCAGAAGAAGCACCGGCUAACUCCGUGCCAGCAGCCGCGGUAAUACGGAGGGUGCGAGCGUUAAUCGGAAUUACUGGGCGUAAAGCGCACGCAGGCGGUCUGUCAAGUCGGAUGUGAAAUCCCCGGGCUCAACCUGGGAACUGCAUUCGAAACUGGCAGGCUGGAGUCUUGUAGAGGGGGGUAGAAUUCCAGGUGUAGCGGUGAAAUGCGUAGAGAUCUGGAGGAAUACCGGUGGCGAAGGCGGCCCCCUGGACAAAGACUGACGCUCAGGUGCGAAAGCGUGGGGAGCAAACAGGAUUAGAUACCCUGGUAGUCCACGCUGUAAACGAUGUCGACGUGGAGGUUGUUCCCUUGAGGAGUGGCUUCCGGA
This 714-nucleotide ribosomal RNA is filed under the name uncultured bacterium. Its description in RNAcentral is "bacterial SSU rRNA". It matches the Rfam family "Bacterial small subunit ribosomal RNA", at positions 141 to 850 of the family's 1533-position model. The record is from RNAcentral.